ACACAGACCUGCAAGACAAUCAUUCAUAGAGUUAGGUAACGACCUACAUUGCCAUGACAAGUUUGACUCCUUCCAACAAUUUUAGGGCUGCCUGAACUCGGAAAAUAGAAAGGCAGUUUAUGCAAAAUUCAGAUAAUGCUGGUUUUCUUUCAGUCUGCUGAGGUGUCAUCACAGAAACAAUUCUCUUGGAUAUCCUUUUCCGAGCAGUUUGAACGGAAAAUGAAGCUUGUGAAGAGAAGGCAGAUAGACCCACAUCUUUCUAUACAAAACAGCAAAAGGGUCAGCACAGAUCUCCUCAAAACUGAAGAAAACUUGAAUUUUGCAAUAAAUAUGAGAAAAUCCGCAAAAGAGUCAGCACAAAUUUCUUCAAAACGGAAAAAAGAUCUUGACUUUUGCAGCAAAUUUGAGAAAAUCAGCAAAAGGGUCAGUGCAAAUCCACUCAUAACGGAAGAAAUCUUAAUAUUUGCAGCAAAUAUGAGAAAAUCAGCAAAAGGGUUAGCAUUAAUCUCCUCAAUAAUGGGAAAAGUCUUGAUUUUUGCAGCAAAUAAGAGCAUAUCAGCAAAAGGGUCAGCGUAAAUUCACUCAUAAUGAGAAGAAAAAAAAACUUAAUUUUGCAUCAAAGGGGCAUCUUAAUUCAAUCAUAUAAAACACAC
Molecule: long non-coding RNA, 653 nt
Filed under: Solanum lycopersicum (tomato)
Lineage: Eukaryota; Viridiplantae; Streptophyta; Magnoliopsida; Solanales; Solanaceae
Description: partial TCONS_00045665
Source: RNAcentral